CAGUAGCCGCGGUAAUACGAAGGGUGCAAGCGUUAAUCGGAAUUACUGGGCGUAAAGCGUGCGUAGGCGGUGGUUUAAGUCCGUUGUGAAAGCCCUGGGCUCAACCUGGGAAUUGCAGUGGAUACUGGGUCACUAGAGUGUGGUAGAGGAUAGUGGAAUUUCCGGUGUAGCAGUGAAAUGCGUAGAGAUCGGAAGGAACAUCUGUGGCGAAGGCGACUAUCUGGGCCAACACUGACACUGAGGCACGAAAGCGUGGGGAGUAAACAGGAUUAGAUACCCCAGUAGUCCCUGUCUCUUAUAC
This 301-nucleotide ribosomal RNA is filed under the name uncultured bacterium. RNAcentral's name for it is "partial 16S ribosomal RNA". It matches the Rfam family "Bacterial small subunit ribosomal RNA", at positions 509 to 807 of the family's 1533-position model. The record is from RNAcentral.